This 367-nucleotide ribosomal RNA is filed under the name uncultured bacterium. Its description in RNAcentral is "bacterial SSU rRNA". It matches the Rfam family "Bacterial small subunit ribosomal RNA", at positions 524 to 898 of the family's 1533-position model. The record is from RNAcentral.
UACGUAGGUGGCGAGCGUUAUCCGGAAUUAUUGGGCGUAAAGCGUGAGUAGGUGGCAUAUUAAGUCUUGAGUGAAAGGCUAUGGCUCAACCAUAGUAGGCUCAAGAAACUGAUAAGCUAGAGUGCGAGAGAGGUUAAUGGAAUUCCAUGUGUAGCGGUGAAAUGCGUAGAUAUAUGGAGGAACACCAGUGGCGAAGGCGGUUAACUGGCUCGCAACUGACACUGAGUCACGAAAGCGUGGGGAGCAAAUAGGAUUAGAUACCCUAGUAGUCCACGCUGUAAACGAUGAGUACUAAGUGUUGGAGAAAUUCAGUGCUGAAGUAAACAUAUUAAGUACUCCGCCUGGGUAGUACGUUCGCAAGAAUGAA